RNAcentral lists this unclassified non-coding RNA (167 nucleotides) under uncultured Penicillium. Its description in RNAcentral is "sequence contains ITS2". Lineage: Eukaryota; Fungi; Ascomycota; Eurotiomycetes; Eurotiales; Aspergillaceae. The record is from RNAcentral.
CUGCCCUCAAGCACGGCUUGUGUGUUGGGCCCCCGCCCCCCGGCUCCCGGGGGGCGGGCCCGAAAGGCAGCGGCGGCACCGCGUCCGGUCCUCGGGCGUAUGGGGCUUCGUCACCCGCUCUGUAGGCCCGGCCGGCGCCCGCCGGCGACCCCCCUCAAUCUUUCUCA